RNAcentral lists this ribosomal RNA (1132 nucleotides) under uncultured beta proteobacterium. Its description in RNAcentral is "bacterial SSU rRNA". It matches the Rfam family "Bacterial small subunit ribosomal RNA", at positions 98 to 1225 of the family's 1533-position model. The record is from RNAcentral. Lineage: Bacteria; Pseudomonadati; Pseudomonadota; Betaproteobacteria.
CUUAAGUGGGGAAUAACGCAUCGGAACGUGCCCAGUAGUGGGGAAUAACGCAUCGAAAGAUGUGCUAAUACCGCAUAAUCUCUGAGGAGGAAAGCAGGGGAUCGAAAGACCUUGUGCUUUUAGAGCGGCCGAUGCCUGAUUAGCUAGUUGGUAAGGUAAAGGCUUACCAAGGCAACGAUCAGUAGCUGGUCUGAGAGGACGACCAGCCACACUGGGACUGAGACACGGCCCAGACUCCUACGGGAGGCAGCAGUGGGGAAUUUUGGACAAUGGGCGCAAGCCUGAUCCAGCCAUGCCGCGUGAGUGAAGAAGGCCUUCGGGUUGUAAAGCUCUUUCGGUCGGGAAGAAAUAGUUAUGGCUAAUAUCCAUAAUGAAUGACGGUACCGACAUAAGAAGCACCGGCUAACUACGUGCCAGCAGCCGCGGUAAUACGUAGGGUGCAAGCGUUAAUCGGAAUUAUUGGGCGUAAAGGGUGCGCAGGCGGAUGUAUAAGUCAGAUGUGAAAUCCCUGGGCUUAACCUAGGAAUUGCGUUUGAAACUAUAUGACUAGAGUGUGAUAGAGGGGAGUGGAAUUCCAUGUGUAGCAGUGAAAUGCGUAGAGAUGUGGAAGAACACCGAUGGCGAAGGCAGCUCCCUGGAUUAACACUGACGCUCAUGCACGAAAGCGUGGGGAGCAAACAGGAUUAGACACCCUGGUAGUCCACGCCCUAAACUAUGUCGACUAGUUGUUGGGGGAGUCUGUCCCUCAGUAACGUAGCUAACGCGUGAAGUCGACCGCCUGGGGAGUACGGUCGCAAGAUUAAAACUCAAAGGAAUUGACGGGGACCCGCACAAGCGGUGGAUUAUGUGGAUUAAUUCGAUGCAACGCGAAGAAACCUUACCUACCCUUGACAUGCCAGGAACCCCGCAGAGAUGUGGGGGUGCCCGAAAGGGAACCUGGACACAGGUGCUGCAUGGCUGUCGUCAGCUCGUGUCGUGAGAUGUUGGGUUAAGUCCCGCAACGAGCGCAACCCUUGUCACUAAUUGCCAUCAUUAAGUUGGGCACUUUAGUGAGACUGCCGGUGACAAACCGGAGGAAGGUGGGGAUGACGUCAAGUCCUCAUGGCCCUUAUGGGUAGGGCUUCACACGUAA